RNAcentral lists this ribosomal RNA (253 nucleotides) under uncultured bacterium. RNAcentral describes it as "partial 16S ribosomal RNA". It matches the Rfam family "Bacterial small subunit ribosomal RNA", at positions 524 to 776 of the family's 1533-position model. The record is from RNAcentral.
UACGUAGGGCGCAAGCGUUAAUCGGAAUUACUGGGCGUAAAGCGUGCGCAGGCGGUUAUGCAAGACAGAUGUGAAAUCCCCGGGCUCAACCUGGGAACUGCAUUUGUGACUGUAUAGCUAGAGUACGGUAGAGGGGGAUGGAAUUCCGCGUGUAGCAGUGAAAUGCGUAGAUAUGCGGAGGAACACCGAUGGCGAAGGCAAUCCCCUGGACCUGUACUGACGCUCAUGCACGAAAGCGUGGGGAGCAAACAGG